GUUUACCUGUGAAAAGGAAGGAACUUACACAAAGGAGCUAAGAAAACAAAGGUCAGGAGUCUGGACAGAGUUUCGCUAGGUGUUCUGUAAUCAAGGCUGUCGUCUGGGAGCAUUCUGAGCUCUUAGAGGCCACCUGCAGUUCCUUGAUAUGUGGCCUUUUCACAGACAGACCCACAACAUGACAGCUUCCUGUGUGGAACAGGUGGU
Molecule: long non-coding RNA, 207 nt
Filed under: Callithrix jacchus (white-tufted-ear marmoset)
Lineage: Eukaryota; Metazoa; Chordata; Mammalia; Primates; Cebidae
Description: lncRNA (ENSCJAG00000072030.1)
Source: RNAcentral